UUUUAAGAUGAACUUCAAGGUUCUGUUGCUGCUGGCAGGUCUUUAUCAUGUUUGUUGUCAAGAAACAUUUCUUGUCUCGAUUCAGGAAAAUGAUACGGGUACAUCUGAGUGGUUGGAGAUUAGACCAAGGUCUGGAGACUGGAAUGACAUGAGUCUUGAGCAAUUCUCUAUUUGUGCUUGGGUUUAUUUCACAUUUCAAGGAUACUCUUUCAGUGCUCUUUGGAGUUUUAGCACCAUGGAAAUUGGCAACUUGGUUCAGCUCUACGUAAAAACAGAUACAGAGAAUGAAAAUGACGGAACUACAGUUUUGUUUAAUGCAUGGGUUUCAAUAAAUGACACACACUAUAACCGGACUGUUUUAGGAAGGUAUAAAUUGGGUUUCCCCCAAAGCAAAUUUCCCCAAAUUUGCACAGAAUGGCUUAACAUGUUGUGGAACUAGGGUUCCCAAUCAGAAUUCUGUUUCGUGGAAUUGCACACAAUGAUUGGUUCCACUUAUGCCAUUUCAUUGUGUGGAAUUGCGAUAUAAUUGCAAACAAAGAAGUACAUAAAUACUCGUGGAAUUGUGUGCAACGAAAUUGCUUUUCCAUCUAAAAAUUGUAAAAAUUUUAAC
Long non-coding RNA from Eurytemora carolleeae, 610 nucleotides. RefSeq lists it as uncharacterized. The record is from RefSeq and is a predicted model, not a curated record. The transcript is spliced from 3 exons. NCBI's taxonomy places the organism in Eukaryota, Metazoa, Arthropoda, Copepoda, Calanoida, Temoridae.